Molecule: long non-coding RNA, 2385 nt
Filed under: Homo sapiens (human)
Lineage: Eukaryota; Metazoa; Chordata; Mammalia; Primates; Hominidae
Description: HSALNT0334856
Source: RNAcentral
GGGAGAACCCAGGAAAAGAGAGUUAAGAUGUUCUGAAUUCAGAUAUUUUGUAGGAUGGGGCAGAAGAAAUGAGGAUGAUUUCAUUUGCCAACUUCCCCUCUUCCAUCUCUGGACUACUACCAAGGAACACAUCACGUUAAGGAGAAUGCUAUGAGAGCAAAGCAAUGAGAGAGAAUACAGGAAAAACGUGGAAGCUUCAGUGCCUUAUUUUACCCAAGCAACAAACUCAAGGCAAGGCUUUGUGGAGUACCCUUCUAUCUGCCCGAGAAUAGACUAUUUGAGAUAUGCGGUAGGCAUUUCGGAAAAUCCAGUCGAGUAUGAGGUUCAACCCUCUGCAUUUUUUUUUUUUUUUUAAUGAAAAGAGCUUGAGAAGAACUCAAUUCAGCUGCUGCUUCAUCUAGGGCACAGGUGUAUGUGUUCAUGAUUUCAAGGAUGAGGUGAAAAGUCUCCUCAGUCAACCAGUGUUACAGCUUCAAAUAAAAGGAACACAUAUUGAAGGAAGAAGACAAUGUCAUAAAGCUUAUCUAGUGUUUGUGGUAUGGCCCAUCCAAUGAACAGAAAAAUCAUGUGAAUCCCGGAGCUUCUACCUAGCAGUAAACUCACUGAUCUUCAGGGUGUUUCUUUGCAAAAUCCAGGCUUUUGGAUUCAGACUAGAACUACAACAUUGGCUCUCCCGGGUCUUCAACUUGCCAACUGCGGAUCUUGAGACUUGUCAACUUCCAUAACCUCCAACUCUCUCUCUCUCUCUCGCUCUGUGUGUGUGUGUGAGAGAGUGUGUGUAUGUCCGUGUGCAUGUGUGUGUAAGUGACAGAAAGACAGACACACACACAGUUCCAUUUCUGUGGAGAACCCUAAUACAUCUACCUACUUAAGACAUCGAAUUCCUAAUAAAAAGAUCAAAAACUGUUUUAAAUUAAUAAUACAUAAUGAUGUCAAUGGCAGAGCAAAAUUCUCACAUCGCUUGAAGAGGGUCUAAUUUAAAACCUUUCUGAACAGUCAUUUCACAGCAUGCAUUAAAACUUUAAAAUUGUGUGUAGUUUCCUUUUUUUUUUUUUCUUGAGAUGGAGUCUCGCUCUGUCACUCAGGCUGGAGUGCAGUGGUGCGAUCUCAGCUCACUGCAACCUCCACCUCCCAGGUUCAAGUGAUUCUCCUGACUCAGCCACCCCAGUAGCUGGGAUUACAGGCACCUGCCACCACGCCCAGUUAAUUUUUGUAGUUUUAGUAGAGAUGGUAUUUCACCAUGUUGGCCAGGCUGGUCUUGAACUCCUGACCUCAGGCGACCCACCUGCCUCGGUCUCCCAAAGUGCUAGGAUUAUAGGCAUGAGCCAACCUUCCCAGCUGUGUGUAGUUUCUUAUAAUUUUAUUUCCUGGUGAAUGCAUACACACACACACACACACACACACACACACAGAAUAUAAUCAAAACUAUAAUCAAUUAUCUAUGUCCACAGGAUAUUAGCUAUUUGACUCUGUUAUUUAAAUUAGUAACAUAUAUAACAGAGUCAAAUUACACACAACCAAAUGUCCAACAAUAGGAGAAUGAUUAAACAAAUUACAUCACUUUCAAAGGAUAUAUUAUGUAACUCAUUAAGAUAUUUUCAAAGAUUGGUCAAAAAUAUGGAAAAAUAAUCAUAAUAUAAUGACAAUUUUUAGAAUGGUGAAAAUCAGCGGUGUUUAGUUCUGUAGACUAGAGUAAAAGGCUACAAUGUUGACAGUAAUUAUUUCAAAUUGGAGGGUAACAGGUGAAUUUUUCUGUAUUUUUCAUAUUUUCUAUAAUUAGAAUAAAUUACCUUUAAAAGAAAUAUAAAAAACAUUAUCCAAAACUGCUCAAAGAAAAUCCUAUUAAAUGACUUCAUUAAGAUUCUAUGGAUAAUUGUCGAUGAAGACAGUUUUUAAAACAAAUCUGAAAAAACUGUAACAGCUUUUUAUAAUGUUAUUUUUAAAAAUCUAAGCUUUUUAAUAAAGUAUAUAGCUACAGAUACGAGCUGAAUUGUGAUCUCCUAAAAGUCAUUUGUUGAACCCCUAACUCCAAAUCCAACUGUAAUUGGAGAUAGGACCUCUAAAGGGAUAAUUAAGGUUAAAUGAGGUCAGAUGAGUGUGGGGCCCUAAUCCUGUAAGACUAGUGUAUUUAUAAGAAAAGGAAGAAACACCAGGGAUGCACAUGCACAGAGAAAAGACCAUGUGAGCACAAAGCAAGAAGAAGGCCACCUGUAAGCCGAGGAGACAGGCCUCAGGAGAAACCAAAUCUGCCAAUACUUGGAUCUUGGACUUCCAGCCUCCAGAAGUGUGAGGAAAUAAACUUCUCUUUUUUAAGCCAACCAGUCUGUGGCAUUUUAUUUUGGCAAUGCUUGCAAACUAACAUAAAACAUAAUAAAGUACUAUAAA